AGCUCCUGUUACGCAACAUGAUACCCACUUACCUGUCACAAUCAAUUUCUCACUGUCAUCAAAACUGUCUGAAGAAAGAGGUUGGCGUUUCCUGCAUUCUGACUCUAAGUCUGAAGAUCUUGAAUGGAAAGUCCCUUUUGCCUGGGCGGUGGAGAAACUACGACAAGCUCAGAUACAAAUAAACGAUCGGAUAUCUAAGCUGAAAGAAGCAGGAUUUGACCAACCAGUCAUUCUCCGACAUUAUGGUGAUACUGUGAGAGAAAAUAUUCCCAAGAAAUUUAAGGGGCAGACCUGCAAGACCUUAUUUGAGCUGCUGAAUGGAAAACCCCAAAUACCAGCAAUCAAGCAUGCAGACCCAGCAUUACGAAAACUGCAUUAUGGGCUGAUUGAUGGCUCAUCUU
This is a long non-coding RNA of Trachemys scripta elegans, 401 nucleotides long. RefSeq lists it as uncharacterized. The transcript has 3 exons. The record is from RefSeq and is a predicted model, not a curated record. NCBI's taxonomy places the organism in Eukaryota, Metazoa, Chordata, Testudines, Emydidae.